GACGAACGCUGGCGGCGUGCUUAACACAUGCAAGUCGAACGGUGAAGCGCUUUCCUUUUUGGUUGGUGUGGAUGAGUGGCGAACGGGUGAGUAACACGUGAGUAACCUGCCCCCUUCUUCUGGAUAACCGCAUGAAAGUGUGGCUAAUACGGGAUAUUCUGCGCCUGCUGCAUGGUGGGUGUGGGAAAGAUUGUGCCUUUGGGUGUUUUCGGUGGGGGAUGGGCGCGCGGGCUCUCAGCUUGUUGGGUGGGUGAUUGCCUACCAAGGGGGUGACGGGUCCGCUGACUGGUUGGGGGGAAAGUGGCACGGUGACUGAGACGCGGCCCAGACUCGUAAGCGAGGAAGCAGUGGGGAAUCUUGCACAAUGGGGUGAAGCCUGAUGCAGCGACGCCGCGUGAGGGAUGAGGGGUUUCGGUUUGUGAACCUCUUGCGGAAGUGAAGAAGGCGUGCUGCUUGUGAGUGGGUUGACGGUAGCUUGAUAAGAAGCGCCGGCUAACUACGUG
Molecule: ribosomal RNA, 503 nt
Filed under: uncultured bacterium
Lineage: Bacteria
Description: partial 16S ribosomal RNA
Rfam family: Bacterial small subunit ribosomal RNA
Source: RNAcentral